UUGCAUGCAUUGAGUAUCGCU
Molecule: non-coding RNA, 21 nt
Filed under: Caenorhabditis elegans
Lineage: Eukaryota; Metazoa; Nematoda; Chromadorea; Rhabditida; Rhabditidae
Source: RNAcentral